UUACAAUAGUAUUCAGUAUUCAGUAUAUAUAUUACGGUAAUUAACUAAUUUACAAAAUAAAUAUAGUAUAUAGAAUAUUCAACAAAAUAAGAUUUUAUAUCGCAAUAAAGCACUUGAAGUAUUAGUACUAUCAUUAAAUAUCCAGCAUAAAUAACAGAUAACAGGUAACAUCAAUAAAAUUAAGGACAACAAUGGUUUAAAACUGAGUAACUGCAGUAGAAAAGAAGACACACUUUAAGCAAAGUCAAGAUAUAAAAUUAUAUUGCACUUAAGCAGAUUUUAAAACUCGUUGAAGUGAACUCAGAGAACAAUGAAACAAAUCUAUACUGACACUAUUUGAGGUAAUCAUCAUUCUACCUAUCGCACAGUUUUCACCAUACAGUGUACGAUGUUGUUCAAGGUAUAAUAAUCUAGUCUGUCUGAGAAAUGUAGUAGGAGGAACAUUUAAAUUAAGCUGACACAACAACUCAGGAGACUGUAUUACAUUGUUAAGAAUCUUGUAUGUUGUGAUAAUAUCGCAGUUUUUACGUCGAGUCUCCAACUUUUCAAUGUUCAGCAAUCUAUACAUUUCACUGUAAUUAAUAUCAAUACAAGGAAUAUUAAGCUUGUAAGCAAUGUAUCUUAUGAAAUGAAAUGUAACCAAUGAAAAACACAGAAGUUUGAUGGAAUCAAUACUGCUGAAAUCAUGAGUGUGCCUCUUAAUAAAACCCAACAUUUUGUAAGCCUUAUUACACAGAUUUUCAAUAUUUUUUGAAAAAGUCACGUAUCUCUGAUACCUUCUCAAUAAGUGAACUCAUUAGAUGGUACUGAUGAAAUGGUGGACUAAAACUCCUGCAUAAUUCAAAUUUGUGAAGAUCAGAACAAAGUUACUGUCUAUAAUUCUAAAAAUCUUAACAUCAUCAGCAAAAAGCAACACAUUACAAUAAUCAAAACAAUGAACGACAUCAUUAAUAAAAAAAAGAUUAAAUAAAAAAGGGGCAAGGUGGGCACCCUGAGGAACCCCAGAAGUCACCGGAAAAGGACUAGAAUAAAAGUUAUUUAUCUUUACAAUCUGUGUUCUUCCAGACAGAUAUGACUUUAACCAGGCCAAAAGACAACCACCAAUGCCAUAGAGUGACAACUUUGCAACCAGGAGAGAAUGAAUGAAUCAACCAUAGACUUAUAACCAAGGAUAGACCAAACUACUCAUUCAUAAAUCGCAAUAAGUAGCGAUCAGUCAUGGAAAUUUAGGAAAAGCGAUAAACUAUCGUUUGGCAACGUCGCACCGUCCGCUGCAGCGACUGCUGCUCUGAUGUCGCCGUGAAACACGCAUGCCUCAAUGUAUCGAUUUUUCAUUUCGGUCAUUUCGUUUCAACAGCCAUAGGCGUAGUUAAUUUUUUGUAAUACUAUUUUUUCUUUUCAAUAUAUUAUUUAUUUUAA
Anthonomus grandis grandis is the source of this 1419-nucleotide long non-coding RNA. RefSeq lists it as uncharacterized. The transcript is spliced from 2 exons. The record is from RefSeq and is a predicted model, not a curated record. NCBI's taxonomy places the organism in Eukaryota, Metazoa, Arthropoda, Insecta, Coleoptera, Curculionidae.